This is a long non-coding RNA of Trachemys scripta elegans, 5856 nucleotides long. RefSeq lists it as uncharacterized. The record is from RefSeq and is a predicted model, not a curated record. NCBI's taxonomy places the organism in Eukaryota, Metazoa, Chordata, Testudines, Emydidae. The transcript is spliced from 4 exons.
UUAUAUCUUUUCUUAUAAAUUUAUCUAUGCAAGCAAGCAGAUUAAUCCUUUAGGCUACACCAGUUUCCCUGUGGCACCUCUACUGUUCCCUGUGACCUCUGUCUUAGUCAUGUUCAUUGUCAUCCCAUGGCUGCUUAGCUGGUCUACCAUUGGUUUACUAUUUUCUACAAGUCUUCUUUUGAAGAUGCCCUUAUUGCUAUUUCAUCUCUAUAUUGCAGGUUUUGACGUUUUCCCAUUGUGAUCAUCCUGCUGACAUAGUCCAUAAAUAUGAUAAACAGCAAUGGACUGAGGGCCAACCCCUGAUGCAAUCUGAUUUCUAAUACCAAGAGGCUUGCUGUUCCAAAACACAUUCAGAUCACUGUUUUAGAUCUAUAUCCUGCAUUCCCCAUAGUUAUUACAUUCUCAGAUAAUAUUUCAGUACUGGUGCGAGCAUCCUUCUGUUCAUUUUAACAUAUGCUUUUUCUAGGGUCUAUGACAGCCCAGAAGCUAUCCUGUUGAUAUUCUAGCUGCUUCUCUGUCACUUGCCGAAUUACGAACAUGGAAUCUAUGGUUGCUUGGCUUUUCCUAAAGCAGAACUGUUCUUGUUCACUUGUCCUGUCCACCUUUCUCCCAAUCCUAGCAUCCAAUGUGUGUUCUGGUAACUUUAUCCCUUGAUAGUGUCUGCAUUCAUGGAUGCUUCCCUGUAUUGAUACCAAAAUAGAUUCUCAUCAGUCUUCAGGAAUUCUCUUGAUUCACUCUACGGCUUUUAACUAUUCUGCUCAUCCACUUCAUACCUCUCUUGCCCAGGAUUUUCACCAGGUCUGCCAUCAUUUUCUCAGAUCCCAAUGCCUUACCAUUCUUCAUUUUCUGGACUAGGUUUUCUCACCUUAUCCUCCAUUAUGUCAGACUCAGAUCUGACAUUAGGCUCACAUGUUGGCAACUCUGCCAAAAAGGCCGUUUUGCCCCUCAAACUACUGUUUCCACCUCUCCUUUGCUUAUUCAUGUGUUACUAAUAGCCUCCUCUGGUCAUUCUUUACGAAUGGCAUUGCAAAACCAUCCUUCCUUUUGAAUCUCAUUGUCCAGCUAUGCCGGAAAGACAGGAGAAACUGCAUGUGGUUUAAUUAGGCUACCAUUUUAUUAACUAUCUGGGAGCUCCCCACAGAUAAAAGUGUAUAAUGCUGGUAAUGGCAUUAUUUCAAUAUAUACUGGGGGGCUUCCAUCAGCCAACCCUCUUUCCCAUCCUAGUCCCCAGCCCACCUAUUGCUGGGACCUUCCAUCUCCCCCAUGUGGGAUAAGGUGGGCUCUAAGAGGGGCAGUUGGCUUCCUGCCAUGUCAGAAAUAGGAGCCCUGAACUUCCCAGUUUCCAGUCCUUUAACAAAUACCUCCUUUGAAUUCUUUACCAAUCCAUUUAUCUGAUCCCCUCCAUACAGAAGGUUCUGAGCUAUGCCUAAAAUUUGCUCCCCUUCUGUUACUAAAUGCCAGCUUUUCCCUCUGUGGGCUGAAGUGUGUGUGGGAAGCAUUCCUACCCCUUCCCCUGCUCUCACCAUCAUGCUACCACAUGGCACCAUGGAGAUUGCAGAGCUUGAGUCCUUGCUGUUCUGCCUGGUACAGGUAAAAGAGGGCUUUUCCUGCUUGGCGUAACCUCUCCUCUCUUCCAGUCACCUAAGAGGAUGGGUCAGCAUCCUCACGUUGACCUGCUCUGCCAUUGCUGCAACCUCACUCCUUGCCUUGCUAUCCUUUAAAGAGGUACACACCUUCCUGCAGCCAAACAACAGUCCGUUUCCCCCCCGACACACAUAUACCUGCUUAAUGUGUGGUGUGGCCAUUUUUGCCAUGCUGUAGAUAUUUUUGCCAGUGGUUCCUCCAGCAAGGCACACAACAAUCCCUCUCUCCACACUUAAUGUGGAGUGUGGUCAUUUUUGUCAAGCUAUAGAUCUUUUUGCCAGCCAGUAGUGGAUAGUUUACAAGGUUGGCAUACAAGCUUGGUCAUGUGUGGCAUUCUUUUUGCCUUCUUCAUUGUCUGCUUGGCAGCUCACUUUCCUUCCUUCUAUUCACUUUCAUUUAUACUCAGUGUAUUUCUUUAGGCUCUAUUUUCUUGUUUUGGGUAACUACCUGUGCUUCAGUCUAUCACCACUCUUCUCUUUCCCUCUGUUUUCCCCAUCUGCAUCAGCCACAAAUCUCUUCCGCUGCUGCAAUCCAUGUUCUUUUGAGGUAGUUCCAUUCUUCAGCCAAUACCAAAUUUAUUUCCACUACUGAUGUACGUGUCCAAAUGAUUCACCUUCUUUUGAAACCAUGGAUUGGCUAUUACAUAUGGUUUAGUAAUAAUUUCCUUCCUCAUUCCAUAGUACCUAGACUGGAAUUUCCUAAACACAUUAUAUUACCCCUUCUGUUUUUGCCUGUCUCUUCCAUAUCUCAAGUCAUCCAACAUCUCCUUUGGCAUGGUUCUGUCCGCUAGUGCUUUCAAAUCUUGGUGGAAACUCUGCUUCAUUGCAUCUUUCUUGAGGUGCAUAUGCUGAUAUCACAAACAGAACAUGCUCCUUAAUUUGGACCCAUACAGCCAUCACUCGGUCACUUACUCUAAUAAUUUCAAUUAUUGUUCUUUCUCAGCUCUCCUCUCACUACCAUCCUGACUCCAUUACAUCUGCUUUUGUUACCACAGAAGAGUUUACAAUUUAAGCCCAGCUCCCUCACUGCAUUCCCCAUUCACUGUGUUUUCUGCAGGUAUAGAAUACAAAUACCUCUCCGUACCUUCAUAUCAGCUACUUUCACACCUUCGUCAGUCAAAUGGGGUACAUUCAAUAUUGCUACUUAUAUGGGAAUUCUUUGGCUGUGCAGGUCGUUGCGAUUCAUCUGACUCUUCAUUCUACCCUGACCUUCUACAGGACUGUUCAGACACUGACUGCCAGAAAUCCCCAGCUCAGAUGCUGGGGCUGCCAGGCUUGAGGUGGGUGAACUUCUGGCAUAAGGCUAAGACGCCCUCUCACCAUUAGCAUUAUCCCUUGCUAAUAUCUACUACUGCCCUUUGGUAACUCACCAAAAAGAAAAACAUUGCUUGCACCAGCUAAUCGCCUUGUGCCAGAAACUAUAGUGUAUUAAUUGGUGUCCCUGACAUACACUGCAGUGAGAAGGCCUUUCCCCAGUUGAACUAAGUACAUGCCCAAACUCUCCCCAUCUUGUUGCUAUAGACCAGAUGGAUCAAUAAGAGGCGGUACUGCUGUUGCUGCUGCCCAACACCAUGCUUUAUUUAUCCCAUAGAUGAGGGUUUCAGAUCAGAGUUUUCCUUCUCCUAAAUAGGCUACCCAUCCAGACUGAGGAGCCCUAUCUGUCCCAAGAGAUUUGAUAAUAAUUCAGCAAAAGGCUCAUUUUUGUCCUAGUAUGAUUUCAUGCACCUAAAAACAAUGUCCAGUCUUGAUUGACAUGCAGUUUAACUACAUUAUUUCAUAUGGUCUUCAUGCUUUUAACUACAGUGAACUUUCACUGUAUUAGACAGAAGGCCUCAGUAAGAUAUUAGUUUUUAACUUAAGAACUUUAAAAUUUCAUGUGAGAGCCACACUCAAUCCUGUGUUAUAGUAUGGUGAAAAAGUUAAUUCCAAUAAAGAAAGUACUCAUCUUGUGCAGUAAUGUUGCUUCCUUGAGAUGUGCACCCCUACGGAUGCUCCACUGUAGGUUGUCUAUGUCCCUGCGCUGCUGAUCAGAGAACUUUGGUAGCAGUCUGUCCCACCCGCACAUGCGUUGCUCCCCGCCUGCCACUAGGCUAGGCAGCAUGCAUGGGCAAUUCCUCCUCAGUUACUUCUCUACUGCAGAGUCAACUACUAGGACUCCAAAGUAGAGGGGAAUUCCCAUUGGGACACACAGCUCGAAGAACAAUCAUUAUUGCACAAGGUGAGUAACUUCUUCAAAUGGUGUCCAUAUGGAUGGCUCCACUGUAGGUGACUCCUGAGCAGUGCCCACCACUGGAGAUUGUGACUUUGGAGUCGAGUCGGAUAUGGACGAUAGUACUAUGGCACCAAAUUUGGAGUCUGAAGCCAAAUCCCCAGGAUGCCAUAGUGUUCUGCAAAGGUAUGUGCAGAUGCCCAGGUAACUGCUCUGCAGAUUUCUGAUAUAGGAAUACCCUGGACAAAGGAUGAGGAGACCAAUCUCGUAGAAUGCGUGCGUAUUGAAGAUAGGGGGGAGGGGCGGGUUACAUUAUGCAAUUGGUAACAGAAUUUAAUACAGCCCAAGACCCACUUAGAGAGACAGUGAGAUGAAAUCACCGUGCCUUUUGACCUAUCUGCAAUGGAGAGGAGGAGUUUUGAAGAUUUUCUGAAGGUUCUUCUCACGCCGAGCAAAUAGAGGAUAGCUUCCCUAUUAUCCUUAUGAGGUUUGGGAUAAAAGGCUGGAAACUGAAUAAGCUAAUUUAUGUGAAGGCAGAAGUCAUGUUGGGAAUGAAUUUCAGAUGUUGUCUAAGCGUGACCUUGUCAGGGAAGAACCCAGUGAAAGGGGAAUGUGCCAUUGGAGCUUCUAUUUCCCCAAUCCUUCUUGCAGUGGUAAUGACGAUAAGAAACACCAUCCUCAUGGUAAGGUGAGUUAACGAACAAGUGGCCACGGGUUCAAAUGGUGGCCUAGUCAGACCUUUUAAUAGUAGGUUGCGAUCCUGUUGAGGCAUGGGAAGUCUGGGUUGUGGGAAAAAGUUUGCUAUGCAUUUAAUAAACUUCUUCAUAGGCGGAUGGGAGAAGAUUGAAUAUCCUUGUCUGCUGAGGGAAGGUUGCAAUUGCUGCUAGGUGAAACAAUAGAGAGUCCCGAUUUCUUGAGAGUCAACAGGUAGUCUAUGAUCACUGGUAGGGUGGAUGUAUUAGGGAUGACACGUUUGGGAUGGCACCAGAUCUGGAAUCUCUUUCAUUUUUGUAGAUAGUUAUGGCAAGUAGCUCCUUUCCUACUGAGCAAUAACACAUCCUAUACCACCUCAGAGCAAGAUGUCUCUAUGUGCUGGAACCAUGAAGGAGCCAGACUUCGAGACACAGAAUCCACAGGUUGGGAUGGAGAGUGUCUCUCUCUUUCAGCGACAUAAGAUAAGGAGUGAUUGGAAGAGUCAUCGGUGGCCACAGUGCCAGCUGUGACAGGUAAGGGUACCACGUCUGUCUGGGCCAGGUGGGAGAAAUCAGUAUGUUUGCUCUCUUCACUUUCAACAGGACUUUCAAUAUUAGAGGGAAUGGGGGAAAAGCAUAAAGGAGGCCUUUGUCCCAUGGAAGGAGGAGGGCAUUUCCCAUGGAAUGUCGUCCGAUCCCCACUCUAGAGCAGUACUGUGGACACUGCUUGUUCUGCAGGAGGAAGCAAGUGCACGUGUUGAUCUCUCGCCUGGAGACCAUUUGUCCUGUAUUGUGCGACCAUUGAGAUCCAUGCGGUUAGGAGUAGAGAUCAGGAAGACUGAACAAACAGGAUUCCCGUACAGACGUUUACCGGGUCCUUCUACCAAUCAGAGGAUCGCUUGACCCUGGCCCAGAUUCUGAAACAGGUCCAGUGUGGUCUGAGUGACUUGCUGGGACUCUGCAAAGGACCAUACCCUGAGAAGGCAGUCGUCCAGGUAUAUAGAUCCCAAGGGAUCGAAGAGUGACCCUCAAAUCUUUUAACAGAUGGAGGGAGGCAUCUGUCUUUUCAGCAAAUAAUUUUGUCCCCUAAAAGGGGUAGUUCUCCACCGUCGUUUGGACCUCCUUGAGGAAGUCAGAGAUGAAGCCAUGAGGCCUGUCUCAUCACAACGCAGUCAAAAUAGAACGUGCCACCGUCAAAUGCAUACUGGAGCGAUUUUUUGCCACCAACUGGCUCUCAUUAACCAAGGCCUUAAAUUGGUCCUUGUGAGGAUGGGGAAGCUGUUCAAUAAAAGAACUAAAUUUCACAUAGUUC